This is a long non-coding RNA of Dendrobium catenatum, 3302 nucleotides long. RefSeq lists it as uncharacterized. The record is from RefSeq and is a predicted model, not a curated record. NCBI's taxonomy places the organism in Eukaryota, Viridiplantae, Streptophyta, Magnoliopsida, Asparagales, Orchidaceae. The transcript has 4 exons.
CUCUGUUUCGUCGUUGCUGUUCGGCUUCGUUGCUCCGCAGUGUAGAGAUGCACGAAUCACUUAUUCGGCUUGCCCCUUUGUUGCCGUUCGACUUCGCUCCUUCGACGACGUUCCCUUUAUAUCGGAUCUAAAGCCACACCUCCUUGCCGUUCUCUGUUGGUUUGGAAGUAAGCACGACUAGGGGAGCUUGCUCUUGCUCGUUGCCAAGGUGAUGGCGUCGGCCUCGGCGGACGAUCGGCCUAAUAAGUCCUCUACGCUUGGAUUCCUAUGGUCCACCGCUAAGGAAAAGAGCCAUCUUCUCGCGGAAAUAGAUCCCGACGAUGAUUAUGCGGUGGACGAAAAUGCUUCUGUGGAGUUCGCUGAAGGAUUCUCCUCUCUCGACGGCAUAUUGCAGUGGGCUAUAGAGGAUGCAGAAUACUCGGAAGAAUAUCAAGGAGAUUAAUCUUUUUUUUUUCUUUUAUUUUGUUAUAUAUUUAUAAAUAUUUAUCAAGGAGAUUAAUCAUAACCUUCAGAAGGAGCUAAGGUGGGUUUUAAUUUUGGGAAUUGAUUCUGAUUUCUUAACGAGGUUAAGAGAAUGGGCUUAUGCAGGAAGAAGGAGGAGAAUCUGGAUGGGUUGGAUGUUAAUGACCUGCGCGGUCUUGAUCAAAAUUUGGUAGAGUCGAUUAAGAUUGUUCGACAGAGGAAGGAGAACCUACGCUUAGGUGAUGGCCGAACACCCGAGGUUUACCUACAGUCGAUGCGCAACGGGUGGCAGGUUCUUACUGUUGUUUUUAGUUGUCAUUUUUUUUUGGUGGUUUUAUCAUGAAUGAAUAGAUUAAGUGUAUACCACCUUGUACAUGAACUUCUUUUGUGAUGGUUUUAAAUGUUAUAUGUUGGAAAAAGUUUAGAAGCGCUUUUAGUAUUCUUGAAUAUCUUUAGAAUUGCAUGGAACUGAUAAGGAGUACUUAAAUUACAUGUCCGAUCUCGUUCCCGCCUCGUACCUAUGAGCUAGCCGGGCCGGGUCGUGACUUUAGCAGGUGGGCCCCACUCUCCUGGGUAGCAAAACAGAGAGAGAAAGAGGGCGGUGGGGGACAGAGGGAAAGUAUUUUUUUUAAUGUUUGAAAGGGCUAGGGUUAGGGCAUGCAAGAUUAUUGUUUUCUUGUGGAGGCUCUUGAGGGUUGGUCUCUAUAGAAUUUCUUUAGAUAUUGGAGAGUUGUUUCUUCCUCUCGGAUUGAAGAAACUUGUAUCUUUUAUUGCUUUCUUGUUGAUUUAUGGAAUAGAUGGGAUUUGCUUGUGUUUUUCUCCACCAAAUCUAAAAUUUCUACUUCGUUAUUGUUGUUUUCUCUCUGAAAACAGUAGAUUCCUCUUGAUUUCUCACCAAUUUUUGCUAUGGUUACUUGCGAACUCAAGUAUUUCCUAUCAUUAUAAUAGGUUAUAUCUUGAUGACUAUUUCAAUUUAAGCAGAUGUUUCACCAAACUAAAACAUGGUUGCUUAGUUUAAGUUUGAGGCAAAUAUCACUUUGUCAUGAGUAUUACAUUUAUACUCCUAUAAAUUCAAGUAGAUAUAAAAUUGAAUACAUUUAGUAUAAUUUUAUUAGUAAUAGAUCUAGUUGUUGGUUUGUGACAUUGGGAUCAAGUCAUUAAAAAAAGUGCACGUUUUGGAUAUCUUGGGCUAUUGUUCAAAAUGAUGUGGCCAGUUAGUAGGAAAAGAAAGAAGACUGCAAAUGAGAUCAUGGUCGGGGAUGUGGUCCUCUUAGAUAACCAAUGCUGAGAUCUUCUUAUGUGUAUUUCAGUGGGUGCCACAAUCGAACAAGACCGCUGUCGAAGGACUGGGAUAACAUAUAGUUUCCAUGCUAGUUUAUACUCUCUCAUACCUUAUGCUUUAAUGAAUGCAGUAUGCAACUUUUCAAGAAUUCUAUGUUGCAAUAAGUUAAUCUCAAAAAAAUUAAUUAAAUGAACAUAGGGCAAAUAAUACAUAUUUAAUUACCAAGAAGAAAUCAAUUGAAUUAAAUCUUGCUCGAGAAGAUUACAUUCACAAAACUCCUAUCCUAGAAUUGGGGUAUUCAUAUCUAAUCACAUGGAGGUUUGGAUCACAUCAACCCCUCUAAAGAAGAAUUUAGGAUAUAAAAACUCCUAAUAUGAUAUGGGAUAGUAAAAUAUUAUAUUGAUGAAACACAAAUAAUGAUCUAGGGGGUUUUCAAAGAAUCUUUAAGCUAUAAUGCCACAACUCUAAUGUUGAAUAUUUUGAAUCUUUAAGCUAUACUUGCUCAUGUCCUUUAAGGGGCUGUUUGGUAUGCUUAAUUAGAAGGGUAAAGUAAAUAAUUUACAUGCAUUUCUUAGAUUUGAUCGUUUGGUUGGUUUUGAGCAAAAUGUAAGUAAUUCUUCGGAAGUAUUAGCGGUGUAUUUCGACCGGCCUUUCUCGCGACUUCAAAACCCGCUCAAAUUGAGCGGGUUACAAAAACACGCCCGCUGCGGUAGAAAUUUUCCGGCGCUCAAGGUGGUGCAAAAGACUUUCUCGGUCGUAGGCAUCCGGUAUGCGUUUGUCGCGCAUCGUCGGAGGUUGUACAGCACUCCAAAUUUUAUGCCAUCACAUCUCAUGGAAGCAGGUAAUCCAAUCAUUUCCUGCAAUACAGUGAUUGGUAAGCCGUCCAUCUGUUUGCAGACAGGUAAGCGACAGCAAACCCUAACAGCUGAGGUGCGCCUAUCGGGAAUCGACCUUCACUCUGGCACCGCAACGACAGCCCGGCUAUUUCCUGCCAUGGCCGGCAAGGGGAGAUACUAUACGGCUGGAAUUCAGAUUCCGGCCAACUUGGCUACGUCAUCGACAAGAAACUCAGCAAGUGCUUCUCCAUUCCAGAAGCAGCGAAGCUUGCAGGAAUUGCAUUGAUAUGCACAAGUGAGAUUCCAGGCUAGAGACCAACAAUGGAGGCUGUGCUUCAAGAACUAGGAAGUAACCGAUGCUUCAAUUUCUAACUGUACUGAUCUUUUGUAAUUGUAAUCGACUUCUUUAUUUAUCUUCCUGUUUUGAUUUUUACUUGAACUCUUAUGUCUUGUAAGAGAAGUGAAGAAGUUCCAGUGUUUUGGAAUUGCUUUCACAUGGUAGUUCUUUGUAAGGAUUGUCUUUCAUGUUUUGUUUUGAGGACAGUGGUAAAGAUUUUCCAGAUAGCUGUAAUGGUAAAGCUUUUUCAGUGUAGCUGUAUAAGGAAACGAUACAGGACUGACGCACUGCCUACCACUGCUUCGUCACUCGAUGAGAUGGUGGGCAGAGUCCUUAUGAUGUUGACUUUCAAGCAAAUCUAUAAAAUUAUCAAUGUUGUCUCCAA